UACAUAGGGUGCAAGCGUUGUCCGGAAUUAUUGGGCGUAAAGAGCUCGUAGGUGGUUCGUUACGUCGGAUGUGAAAAUCUGGGGCUCAACCCCUGACCUGCAUUCGAUACGGGCGAACUAGAGUGUGGUAGGGGAGACUGGAAUUCCUGGUGUAGCGGUGAAAUGCGCAGAUAUCAGGAGGAACACCGGUGGCGAAGGCGGGUCUCUGGGCAGUAACUGACGCUGAGGAGCGAAAGCGUGGGGAGCAAACAGG
Molecule: ribosomal RNA, 253 nt
Filed under: uncultured bacterium
Lineage: Bacteria
Description: partial 16S ribosomal RNA
Rfam family: Bacterial small subunit ribosomal RNA
Source: RNAcentral